AGGAAAUGGUAACCCACUCGAGUAUUCUCGCCUGGAAAAUUAUAUGCACAGAGGAGCCUGGAUGGAAAAGAAUUGUAUGGAAACACAGGAAACAUGCACUGUGGGUGUAUGAUUGGAAUCUGUUCCCAUUUACUCAGACGUCUGCCCGUGAGACCUUUCUGAAGUCCCCUCCGCUCCCCGGCUGAAAGGAGCGGAUGGUGGUUCUCAAUCUUGGUUUUGCACUGUUAUCACCUGAGGAGCUUUUAAAAAGUCAUGCUGCCCAUGCCAUACCCAAGACCAGUCAAGGCAGAAUCUCUGGGGCUGGUGCCCAGCCUUUUUGCAGAGAUUGAAACCCCCGCCAGGUGGAAGCAGGUAUGCUGCCCACAAGCGCACAGACCCCCGACAGGUUGGAACCAAGUUGAUGAUGUUGACUCCUGAUUACCUCACCACCAGCCAAUCAGAAGGAUGUCUACGAGCUGAUCAGACACCCCAUGAACCAACCUCCCCGCCCCUCCACCCACCUUGUCUUUAAAAUCCUCCCCAUGAAAGCUUUCAUGGGGUUCAGGUCUUUCAAGUACUAGCUGCCUGGACUAAAUAAUAAACGUUGCAAUAAAUGCUGAGUCUCCUUCACCACAA
This is a long non-coding RNA of Bubalus bubalis (water buffalo), 615 nucleotides long. RefSeq lists it as uncharacterized. NCBI's taxonomy places the organism in Eukaryota, Metazoa, Chordata, Mammalia, Artiodactyla, Bovidae. The transcript has 4 exons. The record is from RefSeq and is a predicted model, not a curated record.